Long non-coding RNA from Nomascus leucogenys (northern white-cheeked gibbon), 1384 nucleotides. RefSeq lists it as uncharacterized. The record is from RefSeq and is a predicted model, not a curated record. The transcript has 3 exons. Lineage: Eukaryota; Metazoa; Chordata; Mammalia; Primates; Hylobatidae.
UGUUAUUUACUUGACAGAUUCUGCCUAGUAAUUGUCUAAGAUACAGAUGAAAAUUGAUCACUAAUGAAGACCGUUAACUCAAAACCUGGCCAUAUCUCGUAUAACAAGGGUAUGUCUGAGCUCUUCUGCUCAACCUCCUUCCAGCUCUCUAUUUCCCAGUCUUCAUGAUGGGUAUCAAGAAAAGAGAAAAUAAGAAAGACUUGGCAUUUGAGUUUUGAAGGUUAGAGCUACAUAUUUGGUGAUCAAGAGCUCUCAAACUGCACCUGGAUACUAAUUCUGAAUGGAAGCUUACAAUUGUAAGAAUGUAAGACAUCAGACCCUAAAGAACCAAAGUUGUUAUUUCUGUGGAAGACCAGCCAACCUAUUCUUACAGCUGAAACAAGGAAUCUGGCCUGCAAACAAUGUGUUAAGGCAUUCUCCAAGUUUCAAAACAAGAGUACACCAUUUUGAAGGCCUAUAAAUAGAAAGAAUUUUUCAAAUAUUAAUUCAGUAAUGACCUCUGUCUUUGGAAAAGAUAAUUGCAAUGUGUUACUGUGAACCAAUUUAAACCUGUAUUUCUCAUUGCAUUUAAUAUUUAAUUUUACUUUUUAUCAUUAUAUAUCAACAGUUCUUUCUGGAGCAAAGCAAUCUUAUUUGACUUUUUUUUUUAACCUUAUAGUGCACACACACGUAUGUGCAGGGUUAUUUAAACGAGGAAACAUUUACAUCAAAAUGUGCAAAGAGUUAUCCUGGAAUAGAAAUGCUGAAAAUAUAUUUUCAAGAAGUUUUAAAAUUCUAGGCUGGCCUCAAUGUAUUCAGUAGCAUGUCAGAAACAGAAAAAAGUUUAAUCUCUCCAUUUGCUUAUUCCUAUUAACAUACAUAGAAAAAAAAGUUGCUCUAAACCUAAUGCCUAUGCAAUAUGUUUGUUUCCUGAUGCCGAUGGUAAAUCAUAACUGGGCACUUGGUUAUAUUUUUUAAUGUUCUACAUUUCUAGCACUGCUACUGUGUUCACAACGAGCUUUAUAUCUGACAGUAAUUUUAUUUUCAGGUUCAGUCAUAUGAUGCCUUUCUAUAGGAAUAGGUUCUAUCACAGGAGCAAAUUAUUUGAAUCUAGUUUAACAGACUCAGCAAUUCACCUCAGUUUUAUCUUGGGCAUUUUGUAUUCCUUUGCCUAAACCUAGUGGCUAUGUAACAAUUCAAUUACCAAAGUCCUUCAUCCAGAAAGUGCCGUUGAUUUCCAGUAAUUCUUAUUCUGUUUGAUGUCUUUUUUUUUCCUCCUAGUUUAACACAUGGCAGCUGGUGUUGACUGAGUUUAAAAUCUUGAAAUAAGCCUGGCACUGUGUCAGUACAUAGGUUAAAAAAUGAAACAAAAAUAUUUAAUAAAAUAUACAAUAGAAAUGGAAAA